UACGUAGGGAGCAAGCGUUGUCCGGAAUCAUUGGGCGUAAAGAGCGUGUAGGCGGCCACUUAAGUCCUGCGUGAAAUCUUGCGGCUCAACCGCAAGCGGUCGUGGGAAACUGGGUGGCUAGAGUGCGGGAGAGGAGAGUGGAAUUCCUGGUGUAGCGGUGGAAUGCGCAGAUAUCAGGAAGAACACCCGUGGCGAAGGCGGCUCUCUGGAACGCAACUGACGCUGAGACGCGAAAGCGUGGGGAGCAAACAGG
This 253-nucleotide ribosomal RNA is filed under the name uncultured bacterium. RNAcentral describes it as "partial 16S ribosomal RNA". It matches the Rfam family "Bacterial small subunit ribosomal RNA", at positions 524 to 776 of the family's 1533-position model. The record is from RNAcentral.